Molecule: ribosomal RNA, 469 nt
Filed under: uncultured bacterium
Lineage: Bacteria
Description: bacterial SSU rRNA
Rfam family: Bacterial small subunit ribosomal RNA
Source: RNAcentral
AUUACUCCUACGGGAGGCAGCAGUGAGGAAUAUUGGUCAAUGGGCGAGAGCCUGAACCAGCCAAGUCGCGUGAAGGAUGAAGGUUUUAUGAAUUGUAAACUUCUUUUGCAGGGGAAUAAAGUACGGUACGUGUACCGUUUUGUAUGUACUCUGCGAAUAAGGAUCGGCUAACUCCGUGCCAGCAGCCGCGGUAAUACGGAGGAUCCAAGCGUUAUCCGGAUUUAUUGGGUUUAAAGGGUGCGCAGGCGGAUCAAUAAGUCAGGGGUGAAAAAUUUCAGCUUAACUGGAAUCGUGUCUUUGAUACUGUUGGACUAGAGUAUAAUUGACGUGACUGGAAUGUGAUGUGUAGCGGUGAAAUGCUUAGAUAUGACACAGAACACCGAUCGCGAAGGCAGCUAGCUAAGCUAUAACUGACGCUCAUGCACGAAAGCGUGGGGAUCAAACAGGAUUAGAUACCCUGGUAGUCAAU